AUGGCCGACGAAGAAUUUAAUGUCCUUAGAGAUUUACAAACGCAUCUUCGCACGGCCCAAGUUCCUUUCGAACAACUAUCUACUCUUGCAAAACAAGGAGAUGACAAGCUUGUGGAGAGGUUCCUCACAGAGAACAUUAGGGUGGAGGGCAAUGGGCCGGAGGUCAUGCAAAGUCAGCUAUAUAUAGCAUGUUUCUGGGGAAUAAGAGAAAUUGUGAUGACUUUACUUGCCAAAGGAUGUGACCCCAACUGUCAGAACAAAGGUACAUUGUGGACCCCUCUACACGCAGCAAGUUUCCAGGAACACGGGCCAAUCGUGAUGGUAUUGCUUGAAAGUGGUGCUCAACCUGAACUGCCAGACUCUGAAGGAAGAACAGCGAAAGACUUUGCCUCCGCCUCUGACAAGAUUUGGCCACACUUUGCCAUGCUUGGAUUAACAAGAAGCAAAAAAGCAGAACUUAUUCAGAAAGGAGUCAUUAAAAAGGUUCAAGAAACUGGUUCAAACAAUCGACAAGCAUACAAAACCCCAGGACAAGGAAUCAGAAUGGCUGCUGAUAGUCGACCAGAGUCUGCCUAUGCCUACAACAGUGACCCAUUUAUACACGCAGCAGUGACCGGAGAUGUUCUUGCAGACCAGGAGGAGAGCCAGCCACAACAAAAGCUGUCUCAGCCACAGUUCACUCUCUGGCGGUGACAGGACCUAACACUUCUAAACACUGUUAUAUACAUGAUUCCAUAUACACUGAACACCUGAAUGUAGAGACAGAGUGCUAUCAUACGGAACAAAACAGAAUAUGUCUCAGGAAGGAAAAAAAGGUGAUCAUUUCUGUGUACAUCUGAAACUAUACCUUUACAUCCGUCCAGUAUCACCCACCAGUUUCUGAUUACAGUUACAGGUAAAUUCUAUACCUGACAUAUAUCUAAACAUCAUACCUGAUUUACAGGUAAAUAUUACAUUGACAUACAGGUAAAUAAAAUACCUGAAUUACAGGUAAAUAUUACAUUGACAUACAGGUAAAUAAAAUACCUGAUUUACAGGUAAAUAUUACAUUGACAUACAGGUAAACAAAAUACCUUAAUUACAGGUAAAAUUUACAUUUACUUAUUUACAUUGAGUUAUAAAGCCAGCUUACAAGUAAACACAUGCCUACUUGUAGUUUAACAUUAUAUCUGACUUAUAGAUAAACUUUGACUUUCAAAUAAAUUUGACUCCUAACUUACAGGUUAAUGCUACAUACCUGACUUACAGAUAAAUAUUAUAUUGACUCACAUUUAGCUUUUAGACUUAAUUUACAUGUAAACUUUAUAUUCAUUAACAACUAGAUAUUAAGCCUGACUUACAGAUAAAUGCUACACCUGACUUACAGGUAACUGAUGUAAAUGACUUACAGGUAAACAUUAUAACUGACUUACAUGUAAAUAUUACACCAGACUUAUGUGUUAAUGCUACUGUUUACUGAUUUACAGGUAAAUAUUACACCAGACUUACGUGUUAAUGCUACUGUAUACUGACUUACAGGUAAAUAUUACACCAGACUUACGUGUUAAUUCUACUGUAUACGGACUUACAGGUAAAUAUUAUACUAGGCUUACGUGUUAAUGCUACUGUAUACUGACUUACAUGUACAUAUUACACCAGAUUUACGUGUUAAUGCUACUGUAUACUGACUUACAGGUAAAUAUUACACCAGACUUACGUGUUAAUGCUACUGUAUACUGACUUACAGGUAAAUAUUACACCAGACUUACGUGUUAAUGCUACUGUAUACUGACUCACAGGUAAAUAUUACACCAGACUUAGGUGUUACUGCUACUGUAUACUGACUCACAGGUAAAUAUUACACCAGACUUAGGUGUUACUGCUACUGUAUACUGACUUACAGGUAAAUAUUACACCAGACUUACGUGUUAAUGCUACUGUAUACUGACUUACAGGUAAAUAUUACACCAGAUUUAGGUGUUAAUGCUACUGUAUACUGACUUACAGGUAAAUAUUACACCAGACUUACGUGUUAAUGCUACUGUAUACUGACUUACAGGUAAAUAUUACACCAGACUUACGUGUUAAUGCUACUGUAUACUGACUUACAGGUAAAUAUUACACCAGAUUUAGGUGUUAAUGCUACUGUAUACUGACUUACAGGUAAAUAUUACACCAGACUUACGUGUUAAUGCUACUGUAUACUGACUUACAGGUAAAUAUUACACCAGAUUUAGGUGUUAAUGCUACUGUAUACUGACUUACAGGUAAAUAUUACACCAGAUUUACGUGUUAAUGCUACUGUGUACUGACUUACAGGUAAAUAUUACACCAGACUUACGUGUUAAUGCUACUGUGUACUGACUUACAGGUAAAUAUUACACCAGACUUCCGUGUUAAUGCUACUGUAUACUGACUUACAGGUAAAUAUUACACCAGACUUACGUUUUAAUGCUACUGUAUACUGGCUUUCAUGUAAAUAUUACACCAGGCUUACGUGUUAAUGCUACUGUAUACUGACUUACAGGUAAAUAUUACACCAGACUUACGUGUUAAUGCUACUGUAUACUGACUUACAGGUAAAUAUUACACCAGACUUAGGUGUUACUGCUACUGUAUACUGACUUACAGGUAAAUUUUACCCCAAACUUACAUGCAAAUGUUAUACCCGACUUAAGGUAAAUUUAACAUUACAUUGACUUAUGGUAAAUUUUAUACCAGGCUUACAGGUUAAUAAUGACUGAGGUAAACUUUACCCUGAUUUACAGUUAAAUAUUACACCUGAUGUACAGGUUAAUAAUUACUCAUAGGUACACUUUACCUUGAUUUACAGUUAAAUUUUAUACAGACAAGAUAGUAAAUACAUUCACAGUUUUUGCUGAUGAAAUAAAACUAACUUUUUAACAGAUUUGGGAAAUUUGAUGUUUUACAGACAGUUGAAGUCAAUUUGUGGCUUUGAUGUUCAAAUAGUUCUGUAACAUUGUUUCAAUUUUAGUCCAAGUUUAUGUUGCUUAAUUUAUUCUUGGUAGUUUUUGUUUUAGAAUUGAAAUAUGAUUAUCCACAUGUGAUGCUCUGAGAUUCAGUUUAAACUUUAGUUUUACUUGAGGAAUAUGAUACUGCCAUGUUUACAUUAAUUGUUGUUCUAUUUUGUGAUUAUCUUAUGAUAAGCUUUCUGUUUUACUGUUGCCAUGGGAAUAUGAUUUUAAGUAAUUUGUAGACAUAUCUCCAUAGUUAUGUGAUGUCUUGAGUUGUUUAUACAGAUUUCAAUUGUUGUUCAGGUUAUGUAAUAUCAUGUGGUUAUACUUGAAUCACUGGUGUCAUCACAGUAAAUAUGAUGCCCUAAUGUCAGGUCAAUACUUGGUUAUGUGAUAUCAACAUUCAGUAAAAUUUACUUUAUUGUGUGUGAUGCCCCUGUGUUAGUACUUAAUUGUGUGUGAUGUCCCUCUGUCAGUACUUAAUUUUGUGUGUGAUGUCCCUGAGUGAGUAUAUUAGUGUGUGAUGCCCCUCUGUCAGUAUUUUAUUGUGUGUGAUGUCCCUGAGUGAGUAUAUUAAUGUCUGAUGACCCUGUGUCAGUACUUUAUUGUGUGUGAUGUCUCUGAGUCAAUACUUUAUUGUGUGAUGUCCCUGUGUCAGUACUUUAUAGUGUGUGAUGUCCCUGAGUGAGUAUAUUGUUGUGUGAUGACCCUGUGUCAGUACUUUAUUGUGUGUGAUGUCCCUGAGUGAGCAUAUUGUUGUAUGAUGACCCUGUGUCAGUACUUUAUAGUGUGUGAUGUCCCUGAGUGAGUAUAUUAGUGUGUGAUGCCCCUGUGUCAGUACUUUAUUGUGUGAUGUCCCCGAGUCAGUACUUUGUUGUGUGAUGUCCCCGAGUCAGUACUUUGUUGUGUGAUGUCCCUGUGUCAAUACUUUAUUGUGUGAUGUCCCUGAGUUAAUACUUUAUUGUGUGAUGAUUCUGAGUCAGUACUUUAUUGUGUGAUGUCCCCGAGUCAAUACUUUAUUGUGUGAUGUCCCCGAGUCAGUACUUUGUUGUGUGAUGUCCCUGAGUGAGUAUAUUGUUGUGUGAUGUCCCUGAGUCAAUACUUUAUUGUGUGAUGUCCCUGAGUCAAUACUUUAUUGUGUGAUGUCCCUGAGUCAGUACUUUGUUGUGUGAUGUCCCUGAGUGAGUAUAUUGUUGUGUGAUGUCCCUGAGUCAAUACUUUAUUGUGUGAUGUCCCUGUGUCAGUACUUUAUUGUGUGAUGUCCCUGAGUCAAUACUUUAUUGUGUGAUGUCCCUGAGUCAGUACUUUAUUGUGUGAUGAUUCUGAGUCAGUACUUUAUUGUGUGAUGAUUCUGAGUCAGUACUUUAUUGUGUGAUGAUUCUGAGUCAGUACUUUAUUGUGUGAUGUCCCCGAGUCAGUACUUUGUUGUGUGAUGUCCCCGAGUCAGUACUUUGUUGUGUGAUGUCCCUGAGUUAGUACUUUGUUGUGUGAUGUCCCUGAGUUAGUACUUUGUUGUGUGAUGUCCCUGAGUUAGUACUUUGUUGUGUGAUGUCCCUGAGUUAGUACUUUGCUGUAUGAUAUCCAUGAAUCAGUGCAUUGUUGUGUAAAGCCCCUGGGUCAGUACUUCAUUGUGUAAAGCCCCUGGGUCAGUACUUUAUUGUGUGUGAUGUCCCUGAGUGAGUAUAUUCUUGUGUGAUGCCCUUGUGUCAGUACUUUAUUGUGUGUGAUGUCCCUGAGUGAGUAUAUUGUUGUGUGGUGACCCUGUGUCAGUACUUUAUAGUGUGUGAUGUCCCUGAGUGAGUAUAUUAGUGUGUGAUGACCCUGUGUCAGUACUUUAUUGUGUGUGAUGUCCCUGUGUCAGUACUUCAUUGUGUAAAGCCCCUGGGUCAGUACUUCAUUGUGUAAAUCCCCUGGGUCAGUACUUCAUUGUGUAAAGCCCUUGGGUCAGUACUUCAUUGUGUACAGCCCCUGGGUCAGUACUUCAUGAUGUAAAGCCCUGGGUCAGUACUUCAUUGUGUAAAGCCCCUGGGUCAGUACUUUAUUGUCUGUGACAUAAUAUAGGUAUUCUUUGAUCAAAUGUUAUGGGUGAGAGAUGUUGACCAAAUGUUGUGUAUGGGAAAUAUUGAUGUUUAGUAAAAUAAAACGUUGAUUAUGAAAUUUA
Molecule: RNA transcript, 5115 nt
Organism: Ylistrum balloti
Lineage: Eukaryota; Metazoa; Mollusca; Bivalvia; Pectinida; Pectinidae
Gene name: 26S proteasome non-ATPase regulatory subunit 10-like
Exons: 9
Source: RefSeq, a predicted model, not a curated record